GUUACCGCACCUUUACAAUUUUUUUUGCGGAUGUUCGAAACUCGAACAACAAGAAAAAAAUAAGAGUUAAAGAUUUUCACCAUGCAUAACUACCCCUGACUGACUUCAAUCUCUAUUUUCCGGUUUCGAUCAUCAUUCUUUUCUAUACCAUACGCCACCGCGAUCGGUAAUAGUUUUUCAUCCAAAUAGAAAAGUGACUGUACCAAAUAGUUAAAAUUUUUACACAGUUCAAAAGCUUAUGUAGAGCAUAUAUUUCAUUUUUGUAUGCCUAAAGUGUUUUACAGUAUAUUUAGUUAAUUUGCUAAGUUCGAAUACUUUUAACUACGUCACCAUAGUUUAUCUUAGCACCAGGCAAAAAUAAAAAGAAAAGAAACUAAGGAAAAAGGUCACGUGCACUUGUCAUAGGUGAUAUUGCUAAAUCUCAGCCAGAUCUCAAUAACAAAAUCAAAGCUCAUUGUGUUCAAGGCUAACUUCUUUUAACCAGAUCGAGAAGCCAGAUCGCUAGGUUUGCGAUAAGACACUUCGGCGAAAGCACGAGGAUCGACAUUCUCAUUGCUUAUCACCAGCCCAGAUUCGUCCAGCAAACAGGUGGUGAUAAGAUCAGGAAUCUCUGUUUGUCCCACUGCUUGUGCCAUUACAGUGGGAAAGCACAUGGUCAGAACAAACCUAAAGUGAAGCCCUGCCAUUCCACUACCGCUUGUGACAAAUAGCACAUUCAUCACAUAUCCAUAUUUUUGAUAUCUACUUUCCAGCAUCAGCGUUCGCGCUAUAACCACUGCCAUUCACCUCAUCAUAAUUCUUAACCAACAUAAAUUAUCCUAAAAUACCAAAAUUUGACAAUCAUCAUCUGUGUUAUCAUCAACAAAAAACUAAAAUAAU
Long non-coding RNA from Eupeodes corollae, 879 nucleotides. RefSeq lists it as uncharacterized. The record is from RefSeq and is a predicted model, not a curated record. The transcript has 3 exons. NCBI's taxonomy places the organism in Eukaryota, Metazoa, Arthropoda, Insecta, Diptera, Syrphidae.